Molecule: ribosomal RNA, 498 nt
Filed under: uncultured bacterium
Lineage: Bacteria
Description: partial 16S ribosomal RNA
Rfam family: Bacterial small subunit ribosomal RNA
Source: RNAcentral
GACGAACGCUGGCGGCGUGCCUAAUACAUGCAAGUCGAGCGGACGAAUCGAAAGCUUGCUUUUGAUUCGUUAGCGGCGGACGGGUGAGUAACACGUGGGCAACCUGCCCUGUAGACGGGGAUAACACCGAGAAAUCGGUGCUAAUACCGGAUAACACGAAAUGUCGCAUGACGUUUCGUUGAAAGACGGCGCAAGCUGUCGCUACAGGAUGGGCCCGCGGCGCAUUAGCUAGUUGGUGAGGUAACGGCUCACCAAGGCGACGAUGCGUAGCCGACCUGAGAGGGUGAUCGGCCACACUGGGACUGAGACACGGCCCAGACUCCUACGGGAGGCAGCAGUAAGGAAUCUUCCGCAAAGGACGAAAGUCUGACGGAGCAACGCCGCGUGAGCGAAGAAGGCCUUCGGGUCGUAAAGCUCUGUUGUUAGGGAAGAACAAGUAACGCAGUAACUGGCGUUACCGUGACGGUACCUAACGAGAAAGCCGCGGCUAACUACGUG